CAGAUAGAAAACGAAAAUUCACUCAAAGUGAACCUCGAGCUGCAUUUGUGAAACGGCAAAGACUCACUAUUGUCAAGGAGAUUGAAGAGACGACUAAAAAUGAGAUGUGUUAUAUUAUUAUACCUUUGCCAUCUUGUAGUCAAGAUGUCCAGCCACUUGAAAAUAGGUGUAGUAAUGACAAAGCUAUCCAAGUAGCUCCAGCACAGGAACACAAAGGCAAGGCAAGUGUGUAUUGCCACAUCACCCCUAAAUAUAUCUGAAGCAAGUACAAGUAAACAAUCAGAACCAGCAAAAAGAAAACUGUUGUUCCUGAGGACAAAUUUGACAGCGAUGAGUCAAAUGCACCAGCAACAGAAGGAUCAACAGUUGACUAUGAGUCAUCUCUCUAUAUCUCCACUCCAUCAAAGACUUGUGCACUGCAGACUAUAGCUCUCAAGAAGACUAAAAAAGUUGAAAAAAUGAAUGUGUUAACAACUUUAUCUAAAGUGAAAAAUAAACAACGUUUAUAUAUUGGUCUUCCACAAGAAUUAUAUUUCAUAAUAGGCUUGAUUGAGAAACAUACAAAUGUUUCUGAACAAAAGAUUAUAUUAUGUUUGAUGAGAAUAAAAUUAAAUAGAACAUUCUCUCAAUUGGCUGAUGAUUUCGAUCUAUCUGUAAGUCAAGCAAGCAAUAUAUUUUUCAACAAACUCCCAGAAAUUGCAAAUGUAAUAUCACCCCUUGUUAGAGUAUAAAAAAAAACAAUACAAUAAAUAUAUAUGCAGGAAGGAUAAUUGAUGUUAACUUGGUGGAAAAUAGAAAGUUUUUAGAUAGUUUGCCACCUACAAGACUCUUUAAUUAAAUAAGUAAUCCUUACUUAUAAAUAGGAAUUUUUGUAAGUAUUUUCACUCUUCAUUCAAAAACUACUGAACAGAUUUUAAUAAGACUUCUAUGCUGGUCUUGUAUGGCUAGCAACUCAUUAUUAUUUUGAUUCUGUUUUCCACAAAUGUGCUAAAUAUGGGCUUAUAUAUAUGAAAAGGAAUAAAGAUUAAUGUUAUGUAACCUUUGUACCUGUAUGUUAAGAAUAAUUUUUAAAUAAAACAUAUUUAAAUUGAAA
Molecule: long non-coding RNA, 1093 nt
Organism: Bombyx mori (domestic silkworm)
Lineage: Eukaryota; Metazoa; Arthropoda; Insecta; Lepidoptera; Bombycidae
Exons: 2
Source: RefSeq, a predicted model, not a curated record